UUUUUUUUUUUUUUUUUUUUUUUUUUUUUUAAACAGUGCAUUUCAGUGGUACUAGUCUGGUACUUAAAGGUCAAUUUUAUAAAAGAUGAUUCAAGUUAAUUCCAUUUUUCACUUAUCUUCUCUGUUCUAUUUUUUAACCUCGACUGUUUUUUUUUUUUUUACUAGAAAUCAUACCACAGUUUUUCCUAUUUUAUUUCUAAAACACUGAAAUUAUCUUGUGUAUAUUAAAGCAUCAGAAAACUAGAGAAGUCUUGAGGAUAAGAAUGUUAUAUACAUAUCAAUUUUCUCUAUCUCCCAGCUAAGCGCCUGGGUUAGGACACAGCAUAGGAGAUGGGUUCAAGGGGUGUGUGUGUGUGUGUCCUUGCCUGAAUCCUAAUGAUCAUAAUGAAAACUGCCCCAAAGCAGCCUUUCCACAUCACCUAUUCAUUUUCUCUGUUAUUUUUUCAAUAUUCUUUUCUGUAUUCAAUUCAUUCCAUGCUUCUGAUUAUGAAGAUGUUUUAAUGACCAGAGUCCACACUUCUCAUGACUGUCAAAAUUAAGUCCUAAAUCACUUUGGGCUGUUAAGAAGUCAGGAAACAUCUUACAUAAAAAACACGGGGUUCAUUUUCUAGGGUACUACUUUUUUUUUAGAAGUUAUACUUCAGAUGCUUUAGAUCAGAAGCACUUUACUUCUGAUAUAUGCUAGUGCUGUUUGAGCUUAAUGACAUUUAAAAAUAAUGUGUAAGGCAUUUUUAAAUCGCUAUAUAAUGAUAUAGCCACGUGAUAUCAGCCAUUGCUGAAACAAUAUCAAUUCUUAACCUGCACGUUUUUCAAGUAUGUCUUAUUCCAUAUUUAAUUGCAGUGAAUGGCGUUUAAAAUUAAAAUCUACUUUUAGAACCAGGGGCAUUUUUUCACUUAAGAGACCAAUUUUAAUCUGCUGUAGGUGGUUCUUUUGGAACUCUUGGUAAUUAUAUAGUAAAUGAGGAGAAGACAAGAUGUAAAUUAUUUCGUGAAAUAUUUUCCCCAACCUUGCAAGAUAUUUUAGGCAGAAGGAAACUUCGUACCAUGCUAAAAAAUGCAUAAUGUUUACAGUGACGACUUGAUGCUCUCUGGGGAAAGAGACUUAGGAGAACAUUUCUAAUAAUGUCUGAAUGAUUAUUUUAAAACUUUUCCAUAUUUGCCAAGAAAGACUGUUUCUGUUUAAUAGCUAGCUAACAUUUUAUUACUGCCUUCCAAAUAUGAAAAAAAAAAUGGAAUGAUGCAGUAUUAUCACCUGAAAUGAGUUAUGGUCAGGUUCCUAAUGUGCUAGUCAUUUCGUUUAAAGCAGGAAUGGGAAGAGUGCAGUAACUUAAAAUAGAUUUAUGUUGUGUGCAUUUCUAUCUAGAAUUAAUACAUUAUAAAAUAUUCUGCAGGCACCAUCCGUUCUUCUCUGUAUUUUUAGAAAAUAACAUUUUUAAUGGAUUUCAGACUUAUUGUGCUUAACAAUAAUUAAGCUACUUUGUUUGAACUAACCAUUUUUAUAUAACCUUGAAAAAGGUGUAGCCGAUGUUUGGGCGUAGUAGCCCCGGGGGAGCAACAAAGUCAUAAAGGCAGGGAUCAAACAAAUUUCCUAAUGUAGCCCUCGCAUGGGGUGAGGCAUCCCUACCCCAUGCCAUUAGCUAAAGGACAUUGUCCUCCUCCUUCACCAACCGCCCCCCCCCCCAAGGGAUGGUUAGGGCCAUCUUAGCCAGGGAGGUUUGGGAAUGUUGGAAAGAGUCUGUCAAGGAUUCCUCUGGUCUGGAGUUGGCUGCAGGGAUGUCCUGCCUCCUCCUGUAGGACAUGCACGGCCUCCUGGAGCCCUGGGCAAAUUGUCUCCCCUCUGGCAGUCACAUGUUGUCCGAUGCUCUCUGUCCCAUGAUGCUGCCUGCCUGUCAUGUAGGAACAGUCAUAUAGGAACUUCGGGGGGUCCUAUUCGGGGCCCUUGGCUACAUGUCAAGGAGUGCUUUGUGGAAUAAGACCUUUGAAUGUUUUUGAUCAUUCCGUGCACGUUCUUUAAAGUCCGUACACCUUCAAAAUGGGAAGUUCAAAACAGUUUCCAUCAGAUUUUACAUCGUGGUUGAGUAUAUAGAUUUGGUCAUGAUACAGAACCAAAUAUCCAUUACAACCAAAUUUCUAUAAUAUAGAACUUAUUAGAUUCGACUUAUAUAUCCUUUGCUGGCUUUUUUUUUUUAAUGGGUUACCACUAACUGUGGCUCAUAAAAAUCACCAUUUCCCGUGUUCCACCUCCAUUUUUCUCAUUAUUUUGUGAGGAGAAAGAAGAAUGGAUACUUUGAAGGUACAAGAAUGAUGGAUAUUUCUGUCUUCAUCUCAUUGCUGCUUACUGCCCACCACUCCUAUUCCCAAAAGCCACGUGCUCACAUUUACCUUCCCUUAGUCUUCCUCAGGAGUCCUAAUUACGGCAAAGUAAACUCAAAAAAAGGUUUAAUUGCAGGCAUCUAAUUCCACCUCAGAGCUCUAGUUCAUACUGCUGGACUACAUGGACCUUCUUAAAAUAGGAAUCUCAGUGGUCGCUCUAGCGAUAUGACAAUGGAAUCAUUAUUUAAUGUCUACAUUUUAAAAACAUGUGUUUCUUUCUAAUACAUUUUGUUUCCUGAAAGGAUAUUUCUUCAUUACAAUCAAAUGUUUAAAUGUUAAUAAAGUACUAACAGACCACAGGAAAUCUUUCAUGAUGCGUCUGAAAAACUUACAUUACCUAAAAUGGGCUUAAAAAAAAAAAACCAAAACAAAACAAACCUGAGGAAUGAUGAAUAAUAGUGUCACCUGCAUUACUUAACUUGGAAGAUUGCACUUUCCAUGUGCACAUUUUUAUGGUUAAGUUAAUUAGAAGAUGAAGUGCUUUAAGGAAAAUAAAAUUCACAUAAUUGCAACCCAUCUUCUCUGUUCUCCAAACAGUAAAACGUGUGGUUAUGUUCAUAAUAUUAAACGUGUACAGCUUGUCACUUCCUCGAGAAGAGAGGGUUUCGAUAGCACCCCUGAUUCCUGCCUGUCCCAACGUAAAGAGUGUCCCGCCUGAAACUCAUAGGUCUUCCAUUUUUCGCUAUUGCUACGAGAACUAAGUUCAAUUUCUGGAAUGUGGCCUACAAGGUCUCCAGCGAUUUGGAAAAGUGCUUCUCUCUUUAGCUCCACUUCUUUCCUUCCCUAGCUUCAUACUAUAGCUUAACAGGGUUCUAAUCGCUUUGUGUAUAAAUUUACAGAAAGUAACAGUUAUGCCCAUCCUUGGGAAACCGAGGCUCACUGCAGGAAGUACCCAUCCGUGGAGCUUCGGCCAUGACAGGCCCUCAAGCGACCCCCAAGGCUGAGGAGGUUGAGCAUCUAGUCUUGAAAUGUAACCUACCCCUGAAGGAGUGUGACGCUCCUCUGACACUGCGGUGGAGACCUUGGGCAGCUCCAUCCAUCAGUCUUCUCGUACAACGCUCUGUAGUUCUUCGUGAACUUGUUCUUUUCCUCCAUGCCCUUGCGCACACCGUUCGUUCUCAUUGAAACACACUCUUGCAAGCUUUAUUCUUACAUAUUUGCUAAAUAUCUUCUAGGACCCAGCCCAGGUAUCACUUUCUCUAGGAAGUCGUUUUUGAACUUUGAAGAUCCAUGAGAUGAACCUCCUCAGGAACAGCCAAGUACACUUUGUAAAAACCCUGCGAGUGUUCGUAAAUACGCAAUUUUCUGAUUCUUCUGUUUUCUUGUUCCCCUGCCUAUUGAUAUGCUCGAGUACUAUUUGUCCAAUUUACUUUUAGAUUUCUAGCAGCUAAUGCAGUUAUCAAGGAGUGGAUUUGAACUG
Molecule: long non-coding RNA, 3793 nt
Filed under: Canis lupus familiaris (dog)
Lineage: Eukaryota; Metazoa; Chordata; Mammalia; Carnivora; Canidae
Description: lncRNA (ENSCAFG00845016650.1)
Source: RNAcentral